CCUCCCCGCUCCCGCGGGAUCCGGGUCGGCGGGGGCCGGCGCCGGGCGGCCACGUGGUGGUGCUGCCGCUGCCCCCGCCCCGCCGGCCCAGCCCGGGAGCCGCGGCGCCCACUGACCCCCGCAGCGGGGGAGGAGGAGGAGGGACCGAGGCGCAGGAAGCCGAGCAGGAAGCGAGCCCGGCGGCCGCGUUUUCCUGGGGAAGCGGCGGGCGGGGGGGCGCAGCCAGCGGGGCCCGGGAGCCGCCGCCGUCUCGAUGGGGUGCUGAAGGAAUCUUCUAGAUCUUCUAGAGCGUGGGAAGGCUGAAUGGGCUCAACAUGAAGAGCCUGAAAGCGAAGUUCAGGAAGAGUGACUUUGUUGGCACUCAGCUGCCUAACUGCUUCCCUUUUGCAAGACCAAAAAGAAGAAAAAGAAAAAAAGGAAAUAGCACAUGGCAUCUUGUGAAUAGUUUGCGG
This 452-nucleotide long non-coding RNA is filed under the name Sus scrofa (pig). RNAcentral's name for it is "lncRNA (ENSSSCG00060039505.1)". Lineage: Eukaryota; Metazoa; Chordata; Mammalia; Artiodactyla; Suidae. The record is from RNAcentral.